This 30-nucleotide non-coding RNA is filed under the name Mus musculus (house mouse). Lineage: Eukaryota; Metazoa; Chordata; Mammalia; Rodentia; Muridae. The record is from RNAcentral.
UUAUUGCCUUGAUGGCCUCUCACUGAUCCA